AUUGAACGCUGGCGGCAGGCCUAACACAUGCAAGUCGAACGGUAACAGGAAACAGCUUGCUGUUUCGCUGACGAGUGGCGGACGGGUGAGUAAUGUCUGGGAAACUGCCUGAUGGAGGGGGAUAACUACUGGAAACGGUAGCUAAUACCGCAUAACGUCGCAAGACCAAAGAGGGGGACCUUCGGGCCUCUUGCCAUCGGAUGUGCCCAGAUGGGAUUAGCUUGUUGGUGGGGUAACGGCUCACCAAGGCGACGAUCCCUAGCUGGUCUGAGGGGAUGACCAGCCACACUGGAACUGAGACACGGUCCAGACUCCUACGGGAGGCAGCAGUGGGGAAUAUUGCACAAUGGGCGCAAGCCUGAUGCAGCCAUGCCGCGUGUAUGAAGAAGGCCUUCGGGUUGUAAAGUACUUUCAGCGGGGAGGAAGGGAGUAAAGUUAAUACCUUUGCUCAUUGACGUUACCCGCAGAAGAAGCACCGGCUAACUCCGUGCCAGCCGCCGCGGUAA
This 506-nucleotide ribosomal RNA is filed under the name uncultured bacterium. Its description in RNAcentral is "partial 16S ribosomal RNA". It matches the Rfam family "Bacterial small subunit ribosomal RNA", at positions 30 to 523 of the family's 1533-position model. The record is from RNAcentral.